This 494-nucleotide ribosomal RNA is filed under the name uncultured bacterium. Its description in RNAcentral is "partial 16S ribosomal RNA". It matches the Rfam family "Bacterial small subunit ribosomal RNA", at positions 28 to 507 of the family's 1533-position model. The record is from RNAcentral.
GACGAACGCUGGCGGCGUGCUUAACACAUGCAAGUCGAACGGUGAAGCGCCUUCCUUUUUGGUGGGUGUGGAUGAGUGGCGAACGGGUGAGUAACACGUGAGUAACCUGCCCCCUUCUUCUGGAUAACCGCAUGAAAGUGUGGCUAAUACGGGAUAUUCUGGGUCUGUCGCAUGAUGGGUCUGGGAAAGAUAUUGUUUCGGUGGGGGAUGGGCUCGGGGCCUAUCAGCUUGUUGGUGGGGUGAUGGCCUACCAAGGCGGUGACGGGUAGCCGGCCUGAGAGGGUGGACGGUCACACUGGGACUGAGACACGGCCCAGACUCCUACGGGAGGCAGCAGUGGGGAAUAUUGCACAAUGGGCGCAAGCCUGAUGCAGCGACGCCGCGUGAGGGAUGGAGGCCUGCGGGUUGUGAACCUCUUUCGCCAGUGAAGCAGGCCUGCCUCGUUUGUGGGUGGGUUGACGGUAGCUGGAGAAGAAGCGCCGGCUAACUACGUG